UACGAAGGGUGCAAGCGUUACUCGGAAUUACUGGGCGUAAAGCGUGCGUAGGUGGUGGUUUAAGUCCGUUGUGAAAGCCCUGGGCUCAACCUGGGAAUUGCAGUGGAUACUGGAUCACUAGAGUGUGGUAGAGGAUAGUGGAAUUUCCGGUGUAGCAGUGAAAUGCGUAGAGAUCGGAAGGAACAUCUGUGGCGAAGGCGACUAUCUGGGCCAACACUGACGCUGAGGCGCGAAAGCGUGGGGAGCAAACAGG
RNAcentral lists this ribosomal RNA (253 nucleotides) under uncultured bacterium. RNAcentral describes it as "partial 16S ribosomal RNA". It matches the Rfam family "Bacterial small subunit ribosomal RNA", at positions 524 to 776 of the family's 1533-position model. The record is from RNAcentral.